UCCCUGGUGGUCCAGUGGUCAAGACUCUGUGCUUCCAAUGCAGGGCAUACAGGUUCAAUCCUUGGUCAGAGAA
RNAcentral lists this transfer RNA (73 nucleotides) under Ovis aries (sheep). It matches the Rfam family "tRNA". Rfam says of the family: Transfer RNA (tRNA) molecules are approximately 80 nucleotides in length. Their secondary structure includes four short double-helical elements and three loops (D, anti-codon, and T loops). Lineage: Eukaryota; Metazoa; Chordata; Mammalia; Artiodactyla; Bovidae. The record is from Rfam by way of RNAcentral.